RNAcentral lists this ribosomal RNA (497 nucleotides) under uncultured bacterium. RNAcentral describes it as "partial 16S ribosomal RNA". It matches the Rfam family "Bacterial small subunit ribosomal RNA", at positions 28 to 507 of the family's 1533-position model. The record is from RNAcentral.
GACGAACGCUGGCGGCGUGCCUAAUACAUGCAAGUAGAACGCUGAAGCUUGGUGCUUGCACCGAGCGGAUGAGUUGCGAACGGGUGAGUAACGCGUAGGUAACCUGCCUGGUAGCGGGGGAUAACUAUUGGAAACGAUAGCUAAUACCGCAUAACAGUAGAUAUCGCAUGAUAGCUACUUGAAAGGUGCAAAUGCACCACUACCAGAUGGACCUUCGUUGUAUUAGCUAGUUGGUGAGGUAACGGCUCACCAAGGCAACGAUACAUAGCCGACCGGAGAGGGUGAUCGGCCACCCUGGGACUGGGACACGGCCCAGACUCCUACGGGAGGCAGCCGUAGGGAAUCUUCGGCAAUGGACGGAAGUCUGACCGAGCAACGCCGCGUGAGUGAAGAAGGUUUUCGGAUCGUAAAGCUCUGUUGUAAGAGAAGAACGAGUGUGAGAGUGGAAAGUUCACACUGUGACGGUAUCUUACCAGAAAGGGACGGCUAACUACGUG